Molecule: ribosomal RNA, 256 nt
Filed under: uncultured bacterium
Lineage: Bacteria
Description: partial 16S ribosomal RNA
Rfam family: Bacterial small subunit ribosomal RNA
Source: RNAcentral
UAAUACGGAGGGAGCGAGCGUUGUUCGGAAUUACUGGGCGUAAAGCGUGCGCAGGCGGAUUUCCAAGUCAGGAGUGAAAUCCCCGGGCUCAACCCGGGAAUUGCUUUUGAAACUGGAUGUCUUGAGUCUCGGAGAGGUUGGCGGAAUUCCCAGUGUAGAGGUGAAAUUCGUAGAUAUUGGGAGGAACACCAGUGGCGUAAGCGGCCAACUGGACGAGAACUGACGCUCAUGCACGAAAGUGUGGGGAUCAAACAGG